UGCUGGGCAGAGGAUCAAACUUCAGGUCAGCAAGAGGACGGAUGGGCCAGCAGCCCCAGGGCAUCUUUCUGACUGACUGAGUCAAUCUCUCAACUCUGUGUGCAAACCUGACCUCCCCUCCUUGGACACAGCCUUCAUUUUCCAGUCCUGAGUCAUCUCCGGGAACCUUCUGUCCAGGCCACCAGCCAGCUGUCUCCCCAGACUCCAAGAUUGCUCAGAAGUUCCAAAGAGAAACUUUGCAACUGUGGAGCAGAGAAUCCAGACGACCCUUUGACUGCAUUCAAAACUGACUAAGAGCUGAUGGACGUUAUGUGAUCUCGGACCAGACAGCAUGAUGGGACAUUUGUGAGAACACAGUAUGUAAGUGAAGCAGAGAAGUGUUAGAUGAAACAUAUUAUCUGUAUUGUUCAAAACACCAUUGUUAUGCCAAGGAAAUAUCCCAGAUUUAAAAAGACCAAAGACACAAGAUAGGGGAAAUGAGAUAUGGCAUCCUAGACUGAAUCCCAGGGAAAUGGACAACACUGGAAUGUUGGUUUUGUUUUAGUUAGAAUUUUAUGCCUAUGAUAAAUUUCCUGAAUGUGUGAACUCUAUUAUAAUUAUAUAGAAAAUAUUCUCCUUUUAGGAAAUACUGAUGGAUUAAUGGGUUAAGG
This 650-nucleotide long non-coding RNA is filed under the name Heterocephalus glaber (naked mole-rat). Its description in RNAcentral is "lncRNA (ENSHGLG00100037399.1)". The record is from RNAcentral. Lineage: Eukaryota; Metazoa; Chordata; Mammalia; Rodentia; Bathyergidae.